CCGAGAAUUUUUCACAAUGGGCGCAAGCCUGAUGGAGCGACGCCGCGUGGGGGAUGAAGGGUUUCGAUCCGUAAACCCCUGUCAUUUGCGAACAAACCUUGAUUGUGAAUAGCGAUCGAGCUGAUUGUAGCGGAAGAGGAAGGGACGGCUAACUCUGUGCCAGCAGCCGCGGUAAUACAGAGGUCCCAAGCGUUGUUCGGAUUCACUGGGCGUAAAGGGUGCGUAGGUGGUCGGUGAAGUUCGGUGUGAAAGCUCGGAGCUCAACUCCGAAACGGCGUUGAAAACUCAUCGGCAGGAGGGUCGGAGGGGAGACUGGAAUUCUCGGUGUAGCAGUGAAAUGCGUAGAUAUCGAGAGGAACACCAGUGGCGAAGGCGAGUCUCUGGACGACUCCUGACACUGAGGCACGAAAGCCAGGGGAGCAAACAG
Molecule: ribosomal RNA, 427 nt
Filed under: uncultured bacterium
Lineage: Bacteria
Description: bacterial SSU rRNA
Rfam family: Bacterial small subunit ribosomal RNA
Source: RNAcentral